This is a long non-coding RNA of Sinocyclocheilus rhinocerous, 114 nucleotides long. RefSeq lists it as uncharacterized. The record is from RefSeq and is a predicted model, not a curated record. Lineage: Eukaryota; Metazoa; Chordata; Actinopteri; Cypriniformes; Cyprinidae. The transcript has 2 exons.
UUGCGUGCACAUUUGGGUGGCAUUAUGCAAAUGUUUCCACAUAGUGAGGCAGAUAUGUGGGGGCGUAUUAAGAACGAGGCGUUUUAGGGGGGCGUGGCAGAGUCUUAACUUUGA